UCGGAAGGUGCGGCUGGAUCACCUCCUUUCUAAGGAGUAAUUACCUACUGUUUAAUUUUGAGAGCUUAUUGUUCUCAAAAUUAGUACUUUGAAAACUGCAUAACAUUUAGUGAUGAUUAAAUAAACCAAUUAUAAGAGAAGAAAACUCUUUAAAAAAUAACACUUUUAAGCAAUGGGACAUGAGUCAUAUUGACGAAUGGACAUUGGCGAAGUCAUUUAAUAACU
RNAcentral lists this unclassified non-coding RNA (225 nucleotides) under Paraclostridium bifermentans. RNAcentral describes it as "partial 16S-23S ribosomal RNA intergenic spacer". Lineage: Bacteria; Bacillati; Bacillota; Clostridia; Peptostreptococcales; Peptostreptococcaceae. The record is from RNAcentral.